GUGAAGUUUUAUUCUUGCUUUUAUUUGUUCAAUUUUUGCUUGUUCUAUAUGUAAGUGUGUGCGUGAAUUUGCUUUGAGGUUCUUGAUGGGUUUAGGGCGUUAUGGGUGAUACUCCUCAUUAGUUAUUGUUAGGUGAUCAAGUAUUCUUGUAUUUAGCAAUGCAUUUUAGUUUCGGUUAAAUUUUGUGCCAGCAGCCGCGGUUAUACCUUGGAAGCAUUUGAACGGAGUUGGUAUUAAAGGUAGUUACAUGUAUAUUGUUUGGUUGAUUUUGUUUGGGUGGUUUAUGGGUGAAAUUUUUAUUGUUUUUGUUUGUCUUUAUUAUGUUUGGAGGCUAUGAAAUUCUAUUUUUAAACUAGGAUUAGAUACCCUAUUAUUUUAGAAUGUUAAGUUUUAUUUGUACCUGAGUAGUAAUAGUUAUGUUCUUGAAACUUAAAGAAUUUGGCGGUAUCUCAUUCCGUCUAGAGGAAUCUGUCCCGUUAUCGAUAGUCCACGUUGGACCUUACUUAUUUGAUUUUGGUUUGUAUACCGCCGUUUAUUGAUUAUCUUUUUAGGGUUAUAUUAAUUUUCUGGUUUCUUUAUUUUGAUAUAUUUCAGGUCAAGGUGCAGCUUGUUUUUAAGUGGAAUGAUGGAUUACAUUGUUAUUUGUUUAUGGAUUGUCGGUUUUAAUAUUGGCAUGAAAUUGGAUUUAGUUGUAAUAAUUUGUAGAUUGUUAUUAUGAUAAUUGGUUCUGGGAUAUGUACACAUCGCCCGUCGCUCUCGUUUAUUUUGAUGAGAUAAGUCGUAACAAAGUGGUUGUACCGGAAGGUGCGGCUGGAUUGAU
RNAcentral lists this non-coding RNA (820 nucleotides) under Bulbitermes singaporiensis. Lineage: Eukaryota; Metazoa; Arthropoda; Insecta; Blattodea; Termitidae. The record is from RNAcentral.